RNAcentral lists this ribosomal RNA (568 nucleotides) under Ambrosiella sp. YTL-2016. RNAcentral describes it as "eukaryotic LSU rRNA". It matches the Rfam family "Eukaryotic large subunit ribosomal RNA", at positions 1 to 577 of the family's 3401-position model. Lineage: Eukaryota; Fungi; Ascomycota; Sordariomycetes; Microascales; Ceratocystidaceae. The record is from RNAcentral.
UGACCUCGGAUCAGGUAGGAAUACCCGCUGAACUUAAGCAUAUCAAUAAGCGGAGGAAAAGAAACCAACAGGGAUUGCCCUAGUAACGGCGAGUGAAGCGGCAACAGCUCAAAUUUGAAAUCUGGCUACUUUGUAGUCCGAGUUGUAAUUUGUAGAGGAUGCUUUUGGUGAGGUGCUUUCUGAGUUCCCUGGAACGGGACGCCAGAGAGGGUGAGAGCCCCGUACAGUUAGCAACCGAUCCUUUGUAUAGCUCCUUCGACGAGUCGAGUAGUUUGGGAAUGCUGCUCUAAAUGGGAGGUAUAUCUCUUCUAAAGCUAAAUAUAGGCUAGAGACCGAUAGCGCACAAGUAGAGUGAUCGAAAGAUGAAAAGCACUUUGAAAAGAGAGUUAAACAGCACGUGAAAUUGUUGAAAGGGAAGCGCCUAUGACCAGACUUGUUUCUAUCAGUUUUGGUAGUUUUCGGACUGCUUUACUCUGUUAGUACAGGCCAACAUCAGUUUGUUGUCGGGGAGAAAGGCUUAGGGAAUGUGGCUCCCUCGGGAGUGUUAUAGACCUUUGCAUAAUACCCU